GUGUCUUAGGCGGUUCCAGCCGUUAGUCACAGGGCGGCCGGACUACAAUCCCAGCAUACAACGGGAGUGGAGGUGGUGACCUUGAGAGAGGGCCUGUGCUGUGCGCGCCUCGCGGGGCAUGCUGGGAGCAGUAGCAUCUUAGCUGCUUCCGGCCGCUGGUCGCAGGGCUGCGGGACUACAAUCUUCGCAUGAAAUGGAAGAGAGGGUGGUGCGGAUAGCUUGAGGAAGGAACACUACAAGGCCUGUUAGAGAAGAAAGGGUAGAAUCCCGAGAAUGUUUUCCCCACAGUGCUGAUAAGGAGAGACCACUAUCCCAUCUACUGCUACAGCUCUGGAGACAGAGCUCUCCCACCUGUCAUAUAGAACACAAGGACCAAUCUGCAGAGAAAGAGCAUCCAAACCUGAUCCAGUGGACACUGGGGAAAAACUCACCACAGCUGAGUGUGGAAAAACAAGGCCAACACACACAUCUCUGCACAGAUACAUCUCCCAUAAAGAAACUAAAGUGUUAAUUUACAGGGCACUGUUGCAGACCCACUUCAGCUGGAAGCUAGGAACAUGGACAAGGAGCCUCUCUACCACCAAGGGAGAGAGAGGAAUGUGCUCUUGUCCUGGCAUUGCAUCCACAGGAGGGGCAGGAAAUUCUUUGAAGGUCUCGCAUCUGGGGCUCGAUCUCGUGCAGAGGAGCAUUUCCGAAGACACUGGCCGCUCCCACAAUGGCUCCGAAGAACCCAGCGACCAGCGGGUUCAUGAGUUUGUUGGGGCUGUCCACUCGGUACCAGCUGCGCAGGGAUGUCAGGACAAAGAAACAAGUUGCCUGGUUCCAGCCCUGCUUCAGCACGGGGCCUGUGGGGCCCCGGUAAGUCCCGGUGUUCCCGCACAAUCUCCUAACCCUGUGGAAGAAUCCCCUGUACUUGGAUUUGGAGAGGUCUGGCCAUGGAUUAACUUCACCUUGAUGGUCUCCAUGGGACAUAGGACCACCACGGCCUCGGCCACGCUAGCUCACUGGCCGCACCGCUGCCCGCCUUGCUGUUCACCAGUCCCUGGGCAUCCCGCAUCUGGUUGCUGAGGAACGCCUGACGCCGCCUUGUGGAUGAAGCCGCAGAGCAGGGAGCUGAGGCUGCGGCCCAGGCCCAGGCUGCCUUGGCUGCGACUGUGUGCCUGCAGGCCCCAUGCCCGGUAUCCGGUGGAUGCGAGUGCUAGUCCAGCUGCAGCUGCAUCUUCACGAACUCGGUGGGGAACGGGAUGCAGAUUUUUUUUUUCUUUUCCUUCCUUCCUUCCUUCCUUCCAACUUCCUUCCUUCCUUCCCCUUUCUUUCUUUCUUUUUUUUUUUUUUUUUUUUUUGACAGAAUUUUGCUCUUGUCCCCCAGGCUGGAGUGCAGUGGCGCGAUCUUGGCUCACUACAACCUGGAUUCAAGCGAUUCUCCUGCCUCAGCCUCCCGAGUAGCUGGGAUUACAGGCAUGUGCCACCAUUCCCGGCUAAUUUUUUUGUCUUUUUAGUAGAGACGGUGUUUCCCCAUGUUGGUCAGGCUGGUCUCAAACGCCUGACUCAGAUGAUCCGCCCGCCUCGGCCACCCAAAGUGCUGAGAUUACAGGCUUGAACCACCGCGCCUGGCCCUGUGAUGUAGAUUUUGAUGCUGCCAGCCAGGCUGCCUGCCGGGAUCGCCUGCCCUGGAGCAGGAGCAUCAGCCGUGCGUUCCAGGACGCAGGCAUGGCAUGACCGGCAGGAGGCGGAGUGCCCGGCGUCUCUUGGGAUCGGAGCCUCCUGAAUUCCACGCUGGGACCUUAAUUUGGUUUUAACACAAAUAAAGAUCUCACAUAAAGAUAAAA
Molecule: long non-coding RNA, 1829 nt
Organism: Homo sapiens (human)
Lineage: Eukaryota; Metazoa; Chordata; Mammalia; Primates; Hominidae
Product: long intergenic non-protein coding RNA 2987
Source: Ensembl